Molecule: long non-coding RNA, 647 nt
Organism: Gorilla gorilla gorilla (western lowland gorilla)
Lineage: Eukaryota; Metazoa; Chordata; Mammalia; Primates; Hominidae
Exons: 2
Source: RefSeq, a predicted model, not a curated record
UGAAGAUACCUAUCUCUGGGAGAGUUAGCACAGCAGUCUGAAUGGAUUUCAGCCAAAGGUUAAAGAUAACUGGCCAACUUUAGGUCAGGGUUUGGCAAACGAACCCUGGUAUAGCCAGGAAAGGGAACUGAAAGCCAAAAGCAGAAGAAAACUUAAAGGCAGAGCUUGCCAAGUGGCCUGCCCUGUUUAUCUUCAUCUGGGAUAACCUGUGGGAGACGCACAGAGGUGACUACCUUAUCCUCAACAUGGAUGAGGGCCAAGAGGACAUAACAAAGGGGACAUACUACAAUACAGAUAAUUGCAAAGAGCAAGAGACAGCGCUGUGCAACUUGGGAUCAGCAAACUACAGCCAGGAACCAACUAAGGCCUACCUGAAUUCGUAAAGAAAGUUUCACUGGAAUAUAGCCAGGCUCAUUCCUGAACCUCUUGCUGCUGUCCCUCUGCAAGGGCAGAGGUGAGGAGUUGCAACAGACAUGAUAUGGCCUACAGAGCCCAAAAUGUUUCAUAUCUAGCCCUUUACAGAAAACAUUUGCCGACCCCUGACCUAAACCAUGUAAGCACCCAACUCCUAGAUAAAUACCUAAAGUCAGCCAGCAGCAUGUUGUUCCAAAGCACCUAACAAUACAGUCAGGUUUUCUCAUUUCAAA